Molecule: ribosomal RNA, 878 nt
Filed under: Escherichia coli
Lineage: Bacteria; Pseudomonadati; Pseudomonadota; Gammaproteobacteria; Enterobacterales; Enterobacteriaceae
Description: partial 23S ribosomal RNA
Rfam family: Bacterial large subunit ribosomal RNA
Source: RNAcentral
CCGGUAAACGGCGGCCGUAACUAUAACGGUCCUAAGGUAGCGAAAUUCCUUGUCGGGUAAGUUCCGACCUGCACGAAUGGCGUAAUGAUGGCCAGGCUGUCUCCACCCGAGACUCAGUGAAAUUGAACUCGCUGUGAAGAUGCAGUGUACCCGCGGCAAGACGGAAAGACCCCGUGAACCUUUACUAUAGCUUGACACUGAACAUUGAGCCUUGAUGUGUAGGAUAGGUGGGAGGCUUGGAAGUGUGGACGCCAGUCUGCAUGGAGCCGACCUUGAAAUACCACCCUUUAAUGUUUGAUGUUCUAACGUUGACCCGUAAUCCGGGUUGCGGACAGUGUCUGGUGGGUAGUUUGACUGGGGCGGUCUCCUCCUAAAGAGUAACGGAGGAGCACGAAGGUUGGCUAAUCCUGGUCGGACAUCAGGAGGUUAGUGCAAUGGCAUAAGCCAGCUUGACUGCGAGCGUGACGGCGCGAGCAGGUGCGAAAGCAGGUCAUAGUGAUCCGGUGGUUCUGAAUGGAAGGGCCAUCGCUCAACGGAUAAAAGGUACUCCGGGGAUAACAGGCUGAUACCGCCCAAGAGUUCAUAUCGACGGCGGUGUUUGGCACCUCGAUGUCGGCUCAUCACAUCCUGGGGCUGAAGUAGGUCCCAAGGGUAUGGCUGUUCGCCAUUUAAAGUGGUACGCGAGCUGGGUUUAGAACGUCGUGAGACAGUUCGGUCCCUAUCUGCCGUGGGCGCUGGAGAACUGAGGGGGGCUGCUCCUAGUACGAGAGGACCGGAGUGGACGCAUCACUGGUGUUCGGGUUGUCAUGCCAAUGGCACUGCCCGGUAGCUAAAUGCGGAAGAGAUAAGUGCUGAAAGCAUCUAAGCACGAAACUUGC